This 369-nucleotide ribosomal RNA is filed under the name Triticum aestivum (bread wheat). RNAcentral describes it as "partial small subunit ribosomal RNA". Lineage: Eukaryota; Viridiplantae; Streptophyta; Magnoliopsida; Poales; Poaceae. The record is from RNAcentral.
UGUUUUGCAGGUUAUCUUCCGAGCAACGGCUCUUAUCCGUUCCUGGUCGCUACUCACUCCGACGGAGGCCAGGGAGCUUUUGGUUACUGCUGCUAUCCGAUGGGAGAUGGUAGCUCGGGAUAUAUUCAGCCGGUUUGGAUGGCGGUCGUGUAACAGGAUAGGCAAUUAGUUUACCUGUCUAUUUUGGAGCCAAACGGCUGUGAUGUAUAAGUGCUUUGGCUAGCUUGUGUAUCUAGCCUUCGGGCUCUGUGUGAGCCUUUUCUUACUUUUCUUGUUGACAACCUUGAGACUUGAAGACUUUGUGGACUAUUUUAUGCUUAAUAAGAUGGCCGUAUGCAUCAUGCUGAUGCAGAGGCCGGGGAAGCCCCC